RNAcentral lists this ribosomal RNA (617 nucleotides) under bacterium enrichment culture clone PF-2_38. RNAcentral's name for it is "bacterial SSU rRNA". It matches the Rfam family "Bacterial small subunit ribosomal RNA", at positions 1 to 617 of the family's 1533-position model. The record is from RNAcentral.
UAGAGUUUGAUCCUGGCUCACAUUGAACGCUGGCGGCAUGCCUAACACAUGCAAGUCGAACGGCAGCACAGGUAGCAACACCGGGUGGCGAGUGGCGGANNNNNNAGGAAUACAUCGGGACCUGCCCAGACGUGGGGGAUAACGUAGGGAAACUUACGCUAAUACCGCAUACGUCCUACGGGAGAAAGCGGGGGAUCUUCGGACCUCGCGCGGUUGGAUGGACCGAUGUUCGAUUAGCUAGUUGGUGAGGUAAUGGCUCACCAAGGCGACGAUCGAUAGCUGGUCUGAGAGGAUGAUCAGCCACACUGGGACUGAGACACGGCCCAGACUCCUACGGGAGGCAGCAGUGGGGAAUAUUGGACAAUGGGCGCAAGCCUGAUCCAGCAAUGCCGCGUGUGUGAAGAAGGCCUUCGGGUUGUAAAGCACUUUUAUCAGGAGCGAAAUACUACGGGUUAAUACCUCGUGGGGCUGACGGUACCUGAGGAAUAAGCACCGGCUAACUUCGUGCCAGCAGCCGCGGUAAUACGAAGGGUGCAAGCGUUAAUCGGAAUUACUGGGCGUAAAGCGUGCGUAGGCGGUUUUUUAAGUCUGCUGUGAAAUCCCCGGGCUCAACCUGG